UUGAGACUUCGGUGGAUUUGAUCUAUUUCUAGUGGCGGACGGGUGAGUAACGCGUGGGUAACCUGCCUUAUACAGGGGGAUAACAGUCAGAAAUGGCUGCUAAUACCGCAUAAGCGCACAGAGCUGCAUGGCUCAGUGUGAAAAACUCCGGUGGUAUAAGAUGGACCCGCGUUGGAUUAGCUAGUUGGUGGGGUAACGGCCCACCAAGGCGACGAUCCAUAGCCGGCCUGAGAGGGUGAACGGCCACAUUGGGACUGAGACACGGCCCAGACUCCUACGGGAGGCAGCAGUGGGGAAUAUUGCACAAUGGGGGAAACCCUGAUGCAGCGACGCCGCGUGAAGGAAGAAGUAUCUCGGUAUGUAAACUUCUAUCAGCAGGGAAGAUAGUGACGGUACCUGACUAAGAAGCCCCGGCUAACUACGUGCCAGCAGCCGCGGUAAUACGUAGGGGGCAAGCGUUAUCCGGAUUUACUGGGUGUAAAGGGAGCGUAGACGGUGUGGCAAGUCUGAUGUGAAAGGCAUGGGCUCAACCUGUGGACUGCAUUGGAAACUGUCAUACUUGAGUGCCGGAGGGGUAAGCGGAAUUCCUAGUGUAGCGGUGAAAUGCGUAGAUAUUAGGAGGAACACCAGUGGCGAAGGCGG
RNAcentral lists this ribosomal RNA (642 nucleotides) under uncultured Lachnospiraceae bacterium. RNAcentral's name for it is "bacterial SSU rRNA". It matches the Rfam family "Bacterial small subunit ribosomal RNA", at positions 67 to 724 of the family's 1533-position model. Lineage: Bacteria; Bacillati; Bacillota; Clostridia; Lachnospirales; Lachnospiraceae. The record is from RNAcentral.